UCUCUCUCUCUCUCUCUCUUACACACACACUCCCUUUUGUUUCUCUCAAACCUCUCUUUGCCUCCGAUCUCCAGAGAACCUCUGUUUGCCUCGCUCGCUCUCCGAUCUCCAGAGAACCUCUCUUUGCCUCGCUCUCCGAUCUCCAGUUCUCUCUGUGUCUCCUUUCUUCCAGAAAACACUCAAGUUAGUGAAUUUUGUUCGGAUCUUUUUGUCGGGGGCUACAGAUGGCAACGCUCUCUUGCUGAAAAAUAGUGGUCUCGAUUUAAAGAAAAUUUGAAGCCCAUAAAAGAUCGUGUUUCCUGCUGCGGAUUUGGUGUGGUUUCAGGAGAUCGGGUUUUUCGAAUUUAUGACUUUUCUUUGAAGCCUGCGAAGACCUCUGUGUUUAAGGAAUUCUCGCCCAUCGUUGAGAUUUUCUGUAUGGGUUUUGGUUCUUUUGGAUUUGGAAGGAGAUGGAGAUCAGAGUUCGUUGCUAUCAUCUAUUCAACUUAAAUUUUUGGGGAUUUGGUUUGAAUUUCUGGGUAAGCAAGUGUCACCUUUGUUCAACUUAAAUUUAGUUUUUUUUUUUGUUUUUUUUUCCUCAAAUUUAUUUGAUGGCAUGAUUUUUUGAUCCUUACUAAAUAGUUGUUAAGAAAUGUUGAAAUUUUUAAUAGUUCUGAAUCUUCUGAAUUUGUUUUUGUGUUUUACUAUCAUGUCUCAUGCUUUCGAGUAUAAUUGGGUAAAUUUUCCCAAGAAAUGGGUAAUAAAUGGAAAGCUCAUAACAUGUAAUAGAAGAGAGUUAUCAAUGAUGAUAAUAAUAUUUUACUAUUAAGUACUUCAGUUGGACAUCUCACAAGACAUAAAAGCCCUGUAAGUUUUCUUCUUUUUCAAAGUGCAUGUCUUUUUGGUGAUUCUUUCAAUGCUUGGACAUCUGUUAAUUUUGUGUGAUAUUGCUUUGGAUGGUUGUUGGGUUUGAUUGGAUUGCACACUUAUUUAAAAAUGGAUAAUCAUUCUUCGAGUUAAUGGCGGAAUUGUAGGCUUGGCUUGAUUUUGCCUUUUAAGGGCCUCUAAAGUUGUAGGUUAUAAUUCAAAUUAUGGCUAUCUUGAAGCAUGUAUAAUUUUUGUUCUCUUUUAUGAAUUCAGAAUAGGCGUGUGUGUGCGCGCGCGCGCAUGUGUGAUUAAAGCAAUGAUGUUUUUGUUUGAAAUUUCGGAAGUGUUUGUUUUCCAGAUUUUUAAUCACUAAUCUGUUAGAAGCCAAAUGAUUCAUAUGCAAACAAAAUGUUUGGUGUGUAAACUUUAAAAGAAUUCAUUUUUAUGAAAAAGACAAAUAGGUAACUAUAAGAACCUACUUUGGUUAUAUUAACGGGGGAAUGCAACUAUAACAAUUCAUUAAAUGCGAUGAUAUAAUCUAAUAGUAUGGAUUCUUUUAAAGAUUUUUUGCGAUUAUUUUACAGUAAGUAUGUUGAGUAAUUUUCUGGAGAGUAAACCUUUUAGAUUUGAAUAUGCAAUAAUUAAUGCACUAGAAUGAUUCCUCUUUCAAUGGUGAUUUGUCUUUUGGACAUAUUCAUUGCAAGGACAAAUGAGAAGUAAUCGGAGGCUGUUGUACCUUACAUUAAGAGUGAACAGUUCAUUCUUUGCGAAGGACAAAACAGGAGACAAGGUUUUUUACUCCAUAUGGGACGGAGAGCUACACAACUUUUGCUACCGCAAUUGAUCGACAGAUAGUGAGCCAAAACAAAUCACAAAGGCAAACACACAACAGUUUGAUGAGGUGCUGUAAAAUUGCUGAAAAAGGUAACAAUACAAAAUCCUUAUUUUCUUCACGGUAUAAUUCUACUGUCAUAUAAAUUCAUUUCAUGUGUUUCAAUAUUUUUCUUUCCUUGCCUAGGCUGCUUUCUCAACAAUCAACAGUACUGGAGAAAACCUUUUAGCGUUGCAGUAAACUACUUUUCUCAUAUUUUGUUAUUCUAGAUAAUACAAUACAACUUCUGCAACUUUUGGUGUGUCUGCUGCAUAUACAAAAUCUUUCAUAUGUAAAAAUCAUCAUUUCCUUUUUAAUGUAAAUAAUAUUAAUCUUUUA
Pyrus x bretschneideri (Chinese white pear) is the source of this 2056-nucleotide long non-coding RNA. RefSeq lists it as uncharacterized. The record is from RefSeq and is a predicted model, not a curated record. Lineage: Eukaryota; Viridiplantae; Streptophyta; Magnoliopsida; Rosales; Rosaceae. The transcript is spliced from 6 exons.